RNAcentral lists this long non-coding RNA (1180 nucleotides) under Felis catus (domestic cat). RNAcentral describes it as "lncRNA (ENSFCAG00000050099.1)". Lineage: Eukaryota; Metazoa; Chordata; Mammalia; Carnivora; Felidae. The record is from RNAcentral.
CAUGUGCCUGGCACGUAGCAUGAAGUUUACGUGUGAGCAUUUAGGUGCCAUGUGACAGAAGUCCAGAUGUCAGGACACUGGGGAUGUACGGCCACCGCAGAUGCUGCUGGAAGCUAGCUCAGCUUCCGUCCUUCCUUCCUUCUUCCUUCCUUCCUCCUUCCUUCCUCCCUCCCUCCUUCCUUCCUCCCUCCCUCCCUCCUUCCUUCCUCCCUCCCUCCCUCCCUCCUUCCUCACUCCCUUCUUCCUUCCUUCCUUCCUUCUUCCCUCCUUCCUCACUCCCUUCUUCCUUCCUUCCCUCCUCCCUCCCUCCUUCCUUCCUUCUUCCUUCCUUCCUUCCCUCCUCCCUCCCUCCUUCCUCACUCCCUUCUUCCUUCCUUCCUUCCUUCCUUCCUCCCUCCCUCCUCCCUCCCUCCUUCCUCACUCCCUUCUUCCUUCCUUCCUCCUUCCUUCCUUCUUCCUUCCUUCCUUCCUUCUUCCUUCCUUCCUUCUUCCCUCCUUCCUUCUUCCCUCCUUCCUUCUUCCUUCCUUCCUUCCUUCCUUCCUCCUUCCUUCCUUCCUCCCUCCCUCCUUCCUUCUUCCCUCCUUCCUCACUCCCUUCUUCCUUCCUUCCUUCCUCCCUCCUCCCUCCCUCCCUCCCUCCUCCCUCCCUCCUUCCUUCCUUCUUCCCUCCUUCCUCACUCCCUUCUUCCUUCCUUCCUCCCUCCCUCCUCCCUCCCUCCCUCCUUCCUCCCUCCCUUCCCUCCUUCCUUCCUCCCUCCCUCCCUCCCUCCCUCCCUCCCUCCUCCCUCCCUCCCUCCUCCCUCCCUCCCUCCCUCCUUCCUUCUUCCCUCCUUCCUCACUCCCUUCUUCCUUCCUUCCUUCCUUCCUUCCUUCCUUCCUUCCUUCUUCUUCCUACCAAGGAUGAGAGGGAAAAUGAUCUUGGGUAGUCACUGAGCCAUCUGCCCCAGAAAGCCAACAAUAGAUCAGGCAGAAGAUUCCCAGGAGUUCCAAUAUUAAUAUUAGACAAAGAUAAAUUCAUGGCAAAAAAAUGCAUCGCAAGACAAAGCCUAUGAUUUUAUAGAGAUAAAAGCUAACCUCAAAGAUGCAGGAAACCUUAUCACCAACAGAUAGCAUACAACUGGCAAAAGAAACAGUACCAGAUAUACAAGGAGAAAUUGGAAAUCCUACAACGGCAGCAAGA